Molecule: transfer RNA, 72 nt
Filed under: Ovis aries (sheep)
Lineage: Eukaryota; Metazoa; Chordata; Mammalia; Artiodactyla; Bovidae
Rfam family: tRNA
About the family: Transfer RNA (tRNA) molecules are approximately 80 nucleotides in length. Their secondary structure includes four short double-helical elements and three loops (D, anti-codon, and T loops). Further hydrogen bonds mediate the characteristic L-shaped molecular structure. tRNAs have two regions of fundamental functional importance: the anti-codon, which is responsible for specific mRNA codon recognition, and the 3' end, to which the tRNAs corresponding amino acid is attached (by aminoacyl-tRNA synthetases). tRNAs cope with the degeneracy of the genetic code in two manners: having more than one tRNA (with a specific anti-codon) for a particular amino acid; and 'wobble' base-pairing, i.e. permitting non-standard base-pairing at the 3rd anti-codon position.
Source: Rfam by way of RNAcentral
UCCCUAGUGGUCUAGUGGUUAGGACUCAACGCUUCCACUGCAGGGGCAUGGGUUCAAUUCCUGGUUGGGGAA